RNAcentral lists this ribosomal RNA (1232 nucleotides) under Nocardiopsis dassonvillei. RNAcentral describes it as "bacterial SSU rRNA". It matches the Rfam family "Bacterial small subunit ribosomal RNA", at positions 56 to 1283 of the family's 1533-position model. Lineage: Bacteria; Bacillati; Actinomycetota; Actinomycetes; Streptosporangiales; Nocardiopsidaceae. The record is from RNAcentral.
UGCAGUCGAGCGGUAAGGCCCUUCGGGGUACACGAGCGGCGAACGGGUGAGUAACACGUGAGCAACCUGCCCCUGACUCCGGGAUAAGCGGUGGAAACGCCGUCUAAUACCGGAUACGACCCGCCACCUCAUGGUGGAGGGUGGAAAGUUUUUCGGUCAGGGAUGGGCUCGCGGCCUAUCAGCUUGUUGGUGGGGUAACGGCCUACCAAGGCGAUUACGGGUAGCCGGCCUGAGAGGGCGACCGGCCACACUGGGACUGAGACACGGCCCAGACUCCUGCGGGAGGCAGCAGUGGGGAAUAUUGCGCAAUGGGCGAAAGCCUGACGCAGCGACGCCGCGUGGGGGAUGACGGCCUUCGGGUUGUAAACCUCUUUUACCACCAACGCAGGCCCGGAGUUUUCUUCGGGUUGACGGUAGGUGGGGAAUAAGGACCGGCUAACUACGUGCCAGCAGCCGCGGUAAUACGUAGGGUCCGAGCGUUGUCCGGAAUUAUUGGGCGUAAAGAGCUCGUAGGCGGCGUGUCGCGUCUGCUGUGAAAGACCGGGGCUUAACUCCGGUUCUGCAGUGGAUACGGGCAUGCUAGAGGUAGGUAGGGGAGACUGGAAUUCCUGGUGUAGCGGUGAAAUGCGCAGAUAUCAGGAGGAACACCGGUGGCGAAGGCGGGUCUCUGGGCCUUACCUGACGCUGAGGAGCGAAAGCAUGGGGAGCGAACAGGAUUAGAUACCCUGGUAGUCCAUGCCGUAAACGUUGGGCGCUAGGUGUGGGGACUUUCCACGGUUUCCGCGCCGUAGCUAACGCAUUAAGCGCCCCGCCUGGGGAGUACGGCCGCAAGGCUAAAACUCAAAGGAAUUGACGGGGGCCCGCACAAGCGGCGGAGCAUGUUGCUUAAUUCGACGCAACGCGAAGAACCUUACCAAGGUUUGACAUCACCCGUGGACUCGCAGAGAUGUGAGGUCAUUUAGUUGGCGGGUGACAGGUGGUGCAUGGCUGUCGUCAGCUCGUGUCGUGAGAUGUUGGGUUAAGUCCCGCAACGAGCGCAACCCUUGUUCCAUGUUGCCAGCACGUAAUGGUGGGGGACUCAUGGGAGACUGCCGGGGGUCAACUCGGAAGGAAGGUGGGGGAUGACGUCAAGUCAUCAUGCCCCCUUAUGUCUUGGGGCUGCAAACAUGCUACAAUGGGCCGGUACAAUGGGGCGUNNGAUACCGUAAGGNUGGAGCGAAUCCCUAAAAGCC